CCUACGGGAGGCAGCAGUGAGGAAUAUUGGUCAAUGGGCGAGAGUCUGAACCAGCCAAGUAGCGUGAAGGAUGACUGCCCUAUGGGUUGUAAACUUCUUUUAUAUGGGAAUAAAACGUUCCACGUGUGGGAUUUUGUAUGUACCAUAUGAAUAAGGAUCGGCUAACUCCGUGCCAGCAGCCGCGGUAAUACGGAGGAUCCGAGCGUUAUCCGGAUUUAUUGGGUUUAAAGGGAGCGUAGGUGGAUUGUUAAGUCAGUUGUGAAAGUUUGCGGCUCAACCGUAAAAUUGCAGUUGAAACUGGCAGUCUUGAGUACAGUAGAGGUGGGCGGAAUUCGUGGUGUAGCGGUGAAAUGCUUAGAUAUCACGAAGAACUCCGAUUGCGAAGGCGGCUUUCUGGACUGAAACUGACGCUGAGGCACGAAAGCGUGGGGAGCGAACAGGAUUAGAUACCCGGGUAGUC
Molecule: ribosomal RNA, 460 nt
Filed under: uncultured bacterium
Lineage: Bacteria
Description: partial 16S ribosomal RNA
Rfam family: Bacterial small subunit ribosomal RNA
Source: RNAcentral